Molecule: long non-coding RNA, 6390 nt
Filed under: Lactuca sativa (garden lettuce)
Lineage: Eukaryota; Viridiplantae; Streptophyta; Magnoliopsida; Asterales; Asteraceae
Description: long non-coding RNA (LSAT_LNC009712)
Source: RNAcentral
UCCAGUAGGGAUGGGUCUAAGGUCACAAUGCCGGCCCACCAACAGGGGUAGUUGGUAGAUAAUUGUCUUUGUGAUAAUUAUCUUGGUAUGUUUAUGUGAUAUGCUCUUGAGAUAUGCUUAUGUGAUGUUCUUAUGAGAUAUGUUUAUGUGAUAUGCUUAUGCGAUAUGCUAUGUGUGUUAGUGGUAGUAGCAAAUAGUUUUUCCCUGACUCGGUCGUUAAGAUCGAAGGGUAGGUCAGUACCCCAGAAAUGCCUGACUGUAUGAUUAUAUCAUGAUAUUAUAUGAUAGUGGUAGGGGUGAAAUAGUCCCCGGUUACCGAUUGAAAGAUACCGAUGGAGGAUACUGGUUGAAAGAUACCGGGGAGAUACCNACCGAUGGCAGUUACCGGUUGAAAGAUACCGAAGGGGUAUACAGAACCCAUGCAAUGCUUAUCUGUAUGUUUAUGAUAUGUUAGUAUGUGAUCAAUAUGUUUAUGUUAUGUUAGUAUGUGAUCAGUAUGUUUAUGAUAUGUUAGUAUGUGAUCAACAUGUUUAUGAUGUUAGUACGUGAUCAGUAUGUUUAUGACAUAUUAUUAUGUGAUAGUGGUAGGGGUGAAAUAGUCCCCGGUUACCGGUUGAAAGAUACCGAUGACAGUUACCGGUUGAAAGAUACUUAUGGUAUUAGGUGGUAUGUGGUAUGAUGGGGGAACUUACUAAGCUUCGUGCUUACGGUUUACAGUUUUGAUUUCAGGUACUUUGUUUCAAAGGAAAGGUGCUGGCUUGGUUGCAGCGCAUCACACUAUGUUUUCCGCAUACGAAAUCCUUGGGAUUAUACUCUGAUAUGGUUUCAUAAUAUUAUAUUUUGAUUAUUGACACUCUGAUUUUAUGUAAUAACCUAAUUAAAGAUGUAAUUUUUGGUCUUGAAUUUUGGGAUGUUACAAGUUGGUAUCAGAGUCUUGGUUUGAGGGAUUCGGACGUACUCUCAGGUGUGACUGAACUCAAACUAAGGGCUUGGUAUGAAAAUUUUCAAAAGUAAAACCAUUUUAUAAAAAGUAAUUUGAAAAGAAUCUGUAAAGGGAAAAGAACUUUCAGAACAAAGUGUGUGAUGUGUGCAAUCAGCCGAGCUCAAGUAAGUUUUCCCCAAGAUACCCAUGCAUGUUAUGAUAUGUUAUGUUAUGAUAUGAUUAUGAGAACUGCAUGCUAGACUACGGCUAAGGAUCUAGGAAAAUGCCUUAUGUGCCUGUUGUAUAUGCUUGCUGAAUUACAUGAUAGUAUUGAUCAGUCAGUGAUAGGAUAGCCUGUUUAGGUUAUGCCUGAUUGUAUGAGCCUUUGGAGUUACAUGCUAGUAUAUAUUCCUGAUAGGAGGAUAAACGGAUUUGAUUGGAAUGUGUUGGUUAGAUUUCCCAUUAACUGAAUGUUGCUUGCUUUGUGCUUCGAGGGACUCUUGGUAAUGUGAGCUAGCUACUAAGUGAAUAUGCUAAAUCAUGAGUGGCUAUAUUCAUGAGGUAGCUAGUUGACAUUACUGGGGAGUCUGUCAGCAGCUGAGGACUGGGUGAGUACGGGAACCUAGGAAAGCCUAGUCAGUGCUUUAGUAGGUUCGGUUGCGCUGUUAGUGAGCAUUUAGGGUACCAGUUUGAGGAAGUGACUUGGAGGAUUCAGGACGAUUGCUGAGGAAAAUAUGGAUAGAUGUGGAAGGUAGUAUUGGGCCCGUACUACUGAAAGCACAGGAUCCAUACUCGAAUCGGCGAGAGUCUUGGAGAAUCUGAGAAGCUUCGGGGAGAAGUUUGUGACCCGGUUUGGGGAUAGAGUAUGUUCCAGUUGUUACAGCUUAGCCAUUGGCAAGCGAGCUAGUGAGCGUGACAGAGUGUCAGACCCUGAAGGAUAUGAUUUCCAAGAAGUUGCAGAUGCGAGAUCGAAUUGGGAGCACUCUGGAACGAGAGAUUCGUGUCAGGUGAGUUUAUUAGAGGGUCCCGAGAAGAGACCCAUGACUUCCGGUCAUCGAGUGAAAGGCCAGCAGGGCCAGAGUGAGUGCAUCACGUACAGGAAAGGGCACAAGGGAGUUUGUCGCUCCAAGGGUUUAGGCUACUGCAGGGUAGCGAGGUUGAUCGUGACAGUUAAGCGUGUUUAGUAUUCCUUUAGAUGUUGUGGGUAUGUCGUCUUCUACUGCUAAUAAAUGGAUGAUGGGAAUACGUAUCGCUUUGGGAUUAUGAGCGAGUUUGGGUAAGUCAGAUCUCAGGUCGGUUUUCUGCUAGUGUUUGGGUUAUCAGGGAUCAUAUAUGCCAUCCAGCAUGCCGAAAGGUCCUUGAUGAACCCACAGAAGGACGUACCUUGCGGAGUGGGUUCCGCGUGUACCGUCAUCAUUCCAAAUCUUUGUCGAGAUAUGUGCCAGAGUAUUGUUUGGAAGAUCCUCGGUCGGGGUUAGAGCGAUAGUUCUGCAGUGAAGUUAGUGUUCAGUGGUACUGUGAGAUUGGAAGUGGGAAUGAGGACUCGUCAGCCAGAGUGAAGAUUAAGGCCUCUAGUGUCAGCACGGGAGGUGGAUUGAGGUGUCAGAUUGGACCAUAUUUCAAGAGUACUCAUCGAGAUUUCCGAAUAUGGGCUAUCUCAAGGUUUAAUCGGUGACUAAUCGCUAGGAUUGGUAAGCACAUGUUGUCAUUAGUGGGAUACUAGAAAGCAAGAAGGAUUGGGAAUCCUUCAAUUCUUGUAUGUUGUGAAGACUUAGUUGAAUGUAAGUGGGGGAGAUACUUUUUAUAAAGUUCUCCAAAUGUGAGUUCUGGUUGCGCGGGGUGCAAUCUCUUGGCCACCUUGUCAACCAGAAGGGUAUUCUAGUUGAUCCGGCCAAGAUAGAGGCCGUGAUGCAGUGGGAGAAUCCGAGGUCUCCAUCUGAGAUUCUAGGUUUCCCGGGUCUAGCAGGUUAUUAACAGAGACUUAUACGGGACUUCUCUGAGAUUUUGGUUCCUUUGACCGGACUGACCAAGAAGUCGGUGGCCUUUCGUUGGGGGCCUGAGUAGCAGGCAGCCUUCGAGACUCUCAGACAGUGGUUGUGCAAGGCACUGAUUCUCACUAUACCAGAGGGUGUAGAUGAUUUCACGGGUUACUGUGACGCUUUGAUCACAGGAAUGGGUUGUGGUACUGAUAGAGUGGGGUCACAUGAUAGCAGGUUUUGGGAACCAGGUUAGAGUUCCGGUUAGGACUCAAGUUCAGUGGUGUGUUAGGUCGAAUGUGUGUUUGACCCAGUUAGAAAGUGUUGUAAGACUGCGGGGGUAGCCCUAGCAUCCAUUAGUGGUCAGAUAGUUUGGAAAGUGUUGUAAAACUACGGGGGUAGGCGUAUCAUUCACUAGUGGUCAGAUAGUUUGGAAGGUGAUGUAAGACUACGGGGGUAGAAUUCACUAGUGGUCAGUUAGUAUGGUAAGUGUUGUAAGACUACUGGGGUAGCCGUAGCAUUCACUAGUGGUCAGUUAGUUUGGGGAGUGUUGUAAUUCUGCAGAUGUAGCCGUAGCAUUCACUAGGUUGGUAGAUAGCAUGAGUGCGUUGUUAGGACGCGGAAGGAGAAAUAGUACCCACCAGUUCGGGCGCAACAGUGAGGAUAUGGAAAUCCAUAGAUUGGAUUUCGGUUUUACUCAAAUGGAUUAUAUCUGGUUAAGCCAGUAAUGAGACUGUAGGGGCAUCGCUAUAAUUAUGGGAUCAUGAAAGCAAUGGACUGUAUGAGAUUGCUUGUGAUUUACGGCUACCAUCGGUUAGUUGGCAAUCAUUGUUAGCCUUGGAUUUGAUGAUGACAAGAUUCGAUGCAUGGACUCGAUCGCUUAGAUCAAAAAGUUGUUAGAGCCUCAAUGGCAUGAUAACUAGUGGGAACUAGGUCUGGAGAAGGAUUUUGUUUGAAAGUCGUGUGAGGCGACUAAGUGGGAGUCCCUUGGCUCCACUGUCGGGUCGAAACCCGGUAUUUUAGAUGGUUGGUGAAUAAAUUGAGACCAGGCAGGUCUCCUUAGAUUUUGGAAAGCAGCCAUGUGGAAAGAUACUGCUUCAGGCAGUUCAGUGUUCGGGCAGUUUCAGUGUUUGGGCAGUCUUGGCAUUUGUGUUUCAGGUUGCAAGUACGGACGGAAUAGCCGGUUGAUGGAGAAGUGACAAGUCACUCCCAGCGGGAUUAGCUGAGCCUCGACCAAGAAUAAGUGAUUUGCAGGGGUAAUUAGGUAUGUGAACCUGUUUUAUAGUGGGAACCUCGAGUUAUUGAAAGUUGAGUAAUCGGUCGAGGGAUAAACGGACUGGAUUCAUCGAUGAUGAAUCAAUAUGAGUGGUCUGUCAGGGAAUCAGACCACCUCGAGAUAGUAAAUUCAGACGAAGUAGAUGUGAACUUGUUGUGAAGAAUUCUUUCACCUGCGGAUUUUAGGGCUUUACGAGGAUUGGUCAUGGCUACCCUAGGAAGGCUAGGGCGUGGCCAGGUUGGUGACCAUGCUACUAGAGGGUUGGGGGANUACUAGAGUGGUUGGGCGAGUAAGGAAUGAUUUUGAGGACGAAAUCUAAUUUAAGUGGGGGAGAGUUGUAACACCCGUUUAUUUAUUAAAUAAAUAAAUAAAUAAAUGAAGGACUCGUAGCCCUAAAAUAAAUAAUUAUGUAUAAAGGAUGGUCUCGAAGAGCUAAUCGUCACCAUUUUAGAAGUCGGGGGUUAAAAGAGUAAGUUCCGGACCCAAUUCGUAAGUAUUAACGAGGGCGGGGACUAAAUAUUAACUUUUGGGACUUCAUUUGAAAGGAUUUUAGAGGCUUAGGGGUUGUACUGUAUAGUGGUGGCUUUAUUUUGUAAGGAAUUAUGGAAGGGAGGGCUAAAAUGUAAGUUUUCGAUUUCAUUUGAAAGAGAAUUGGAGGGCAGGGUUUAAAAGGUAAAUAUGGGAUUUAUUUUGUAAUGAUUUCUAGAUGGAGGGCUAAACUUGGAAUUAUGAAAAGAAGUUAUGGGGAUCGGGAUAUAUAAACCCGUCACCCCCGGUAACCCUAACCCUAAUGCGUUUUCUCUAGCCGCCACCAUGGAGCACAGCCGCCGCAUCUGCUUUCCUCCUUGCCACCACUGAAGCCCUAUCACCACCGUCACUUCCGGCUGACGAUGAGGACGAGAGUCGCCAAGUGAAGACCUCUGUGGUUGCUCCAAUGUGGUGGAGGUCGAGGACCAGCCUUACGACGUCUCUCAGCCGGGUGUAUCAUUGCCCGUGUUACUGUUUCAUUUCCACCAGCCGCCAUGAUUCCUCUGCCGACGAUGAACAAAGAACCACCGAGGACGACUUCUGGGUGGCAUUUAUCCUGCUCCGCCUUUAGCCCACGUCGCCAACGUCGCUAGGGUUGUUGCUCCGCCGCCGCUUCGUCGACCUAUUGUUGUUGGACUCGAUGUGGCGGUUAACCGUGGCUGUCACUGCCACCUUCGGUUUCGUUACUACUCGUUUGCCGACGACAAUAAGGCUGCCGUCACCUCCUUCGUUUCCUGUUGCAUCGUUACAGAUCCGCCGCCGUUGCCACUCUGUUGAAGACUUAGAUUCGCCGCCUGCCACCGUGAAAUGGUGCCUGAGUUCGAGGACUCGUGAAGUUGAAGUGUUUUUGGGUUUAUUGUUUGGCCUUUCUUUUGGGCCUUGAUGAUUGGAUUAUUAAUGGGCCAUCCAAGAAUAAUCAUGUGGACUGAAAUAAUUUAAUGGGCCUAGGGCAAGGCCAAUGUAAGGGGUUGGGCCCAAUUUAGAAAUUUGGGCUAUAGUUGGGCCUUAAUGAUUAUAUGAUAUUGGGCCUUAGAAUAAGACCAUGUAUAGGCCUGGGCCCAAUUUGGAAAAUUGGGCCAUAUGCUGGGCUUUGAUUCCUAGUUGAAUUUGGGCCUAUGGAUUAGGCCUUGGGCUUGAAUACGCCAAGCUUGGGGUAACGUAGUAAUUAUCCAAGUAUGUGUUAUGGUUAUGUAGUGGAACCCAAUUAUUAAUUGGGUGUUAUUUUGGUAUUGACGGUUCGGGAAUCUGUCAUCCAGCUGUUGGGGUUGAGUCUGCGGGACUUCAACAGUGUGAGAUUGUGUCUACGGGACUUUAGCAGUGUGAGGUGAGUUACCUUCCAGUAGGGAUGGGUCUAAGGUCACAAUGCCGGCCCACCAACAGGGGUAGUUGGUAGAUAAUUGUCUUUGUGAUAAUUAUCUUGGUAUGUUUAUGUGAUAUGCUCUUGAGACAUGCUUAUGUGAUGUGCUUAUGAGAUAUGUUUAUGUGAUAUGCUUAUGCGAUAUGCUAUGUGUGUUAGUGGUAGUAGCAAAUAGUUUUUCCCUGACUUGGUCGUUAGGAUCAAAGGGUAGGUCAGUACCCCAGAAAUGCCUGACUGUAUGAUUAUAUCAUGAUAUUAUAUGAUAGUGGUAGGGGUGAAAUAGUCCCCGGUUACCGAUUGAAAGAUACCGAUGGCGGAUACUGGUUGAAAG